Molecule: ribosomal RNA, 616 nt
Filed under: uncultured bacterium
Lineage: Bacteria
Description: bacterial SSU rRNA
Rfam family: Bacterial small subunit ribosomal RNA
Source: RNAcentral
CCAAGCGUGAACUCAAAGGAAUUGACGGGGGCCCGCCCAAGCGGUGAGCAUGUGGUUUAAUUCGAAGCAACGCGAAGAACCUUACCUGGGCUUGACAUCCACGUGAAAGCCCCUGGAAACAGGGGCCCUCCUUCGGGACUCGUGGACAGGUGCUGCAUGGCUGUCGUCAGCUCGUGUCGUGAGAUGUUGGGUUAAGUCCCGCAACGAGCGCAACCCUUGCCCUAUGUUGCCAGCGGUUCGGCCGGGGACUCAUGGGGAACUGCCGGUGAUAGACCGGAGGAAGGUGGGGAUGACGUCAAGUCCUCAUGGCCCUUACGUCCAGGGCUACACACGUGCUACAAUGGCCGGUACAAAGGGCUGCAAACCCGCGAGGGUGAGCGAAUCCCAAAAAGCCGGUCCAAGUUCGGAUUGUAGUCUGCAACUCGACUACAUGAAGGCGGAAUCGCUAGUAAUCGUGGAUCAGCAACGCCACGGUGAAUACGUUCCCGGGCCUUGUACACACCGCCCGUCACGCCAUGGAAGCCGGGAGUGCCCGAAGUCCGUGACCCAACCUAGUGAGGGAGCGGCCGAAGGCAAAUUCGGUGACUGGGGCGAAGUCGUAACAAGGUAGCCGUAG